Long non-coding RNA from Stegostoma tigrinum, 271 nucleotides. RefSeq lists it as uncharacterized. The record is from RefSeq and is a predicted model, not a curated record. The transcript is spliced from 3 exons. NCBI's taxonomy places the organism in Eukaryota, Metazoa, Chordata, Chondrichthyes, Orectolobiformes, Stegostomatidae.
ACCAAAUGUUAGCUGAGGCACUGCACCAUACCACCUAAAACUGCAAACUGUUCCUGCCACACACUGGCGGAGAAUUUCAAAGUUGAACAACUGUCUGAAAGGAUGACUCCUAUUUUUAAAACAGCGAACCCUUAAUUCUGGAAUAAUCCAGAAGAGGUUACAUUUACAAAUUGAGUAUUCUUGGGAAAAAAAACACUGUUGAAGCAUUUCAUCUUGGACGCAAGAAGACAGGUGCAAGAAUGCCACAUUUGAAAGGCAACAACAACAUACA